This 745-nucleotide small RNA is filed under the name Pongo abelii (Sumatran orangutan). RNAcentral's name for it is "retained intron". Lineage: Eukaryota; Metazoa; Chordata; Mammalia; Primates; Hominidae. The record is from RNAcentral.
UUUCGCAACUGCUUGCCACUCGCCCCGUGCCCGGUUGUUUUUCCAUUUCCCGGCCCCCUCUUCUUGAGUACUUUACCCCCUGCAUUUGGGGACAGGGACUGGAAAAGGGGCGGGUGGAGCGUCCAGUGGAGAAGGAAGCGAGGCCCGCAGGAGGAGGAGGAUCGGCGGACCGUGGGGAGGAGACCCCACGCCACCCUUUCUGGUCAUCUCCCCUCCCGCCCCGCCCCUGCGCACACUCCCUCGCGGGCGAGCUACUUUCGGACCAGGAAAGUAAGGGCGGCCCUGGGUGACAGCGCCGCGGGGCCAGUCCCGGGGUUAGCCGCGCGUCUGCUCGCUUCUGGUCCGUCGCGCUCACAGCCAGGGCACAGCUCGGACCGAGGAUGGCUUCGACCACAACCUGCACCAGGUUCACGGACGAGUAUCAGCUUUUCGAGGAGCUUGGAAAGGGGGCAUUCUCAGUGGUGAGAAGAUGUAUGAAAAUUCCUACUGGACAAGAAUAUGCUGCCAAAAUUAUCAACACCAAAAAGCUUUCUGCUAGGGGUGGGUAUUUUCAACCACAUAUAUUGGUUAAUUUUGUAUUUGUCAUGUUGAUUAUAGGUUCUGUUGUAUGUAAAUAUAUCAUGUAGUUGUAACUGAAUUUUAGACUUAGGUAUCAUAUUACAUAUUGAGAUUAUUUUCUUCCUGAAUGCUUCUUGGUCUGUACAGCUUAAAAAUAAAUGGAAAGAUAUAAUUAUUAUUUGAUACA